Molecule: unclassified non-coding RNA, 22 nt
Filed under: Mus musculus (house mouse)
Lineage: Eukaryota; Metazoa; Chordata; Mammalia; Rodentia; Muridae
Description: oocyte_clustered_small_RNA3619
Source: RNAcentral
UCUCGAUAUAUGCACAGGAGAG